RNAcentral lists this ribosomal RNA (253 nucleotides) under uncultured bacterium. RNAcentral's name for it is "partial 16S ribosomal RNA". It matches the Rfam family "Bacterial small subunit ribosomal RNA", at positions 524 to 776 of the family's 1533-position model. The record is from RNAcentral.
UACGAAGGGGGCUAGCGUUGUUCGGAUUUACUGGGCGUAAAGCGCACGUAGGCGGAUCGUUAAGUCGGGGGUGAAAUCCUGGAGCUCAACUCCAGGACUGCCUUCGAUACUGGCGAUCUAGAGUCCGGAAGAGGUGAGUGGAACUCCUAGUGUAGAGGUGGAAUUCGUAGAUAUUAGGAAGAACACCAGUGGCGAAGGCGGCUCACUGGUCCGGUACUGACGCUGAGGUGCGAAAGCGUGGGGAGCAAACAGG